Molecule: non-coding RNA, 22 nt
Filed under: Arabidopsis thaliana (thale cress)
Lineage: Eukaryota; Viridiplantae; Streptophyta; Magnoliopsida; Brassicales; Brassicaceae
Source: RNAcentral
UCCUGUUGCUUAGUUUUUGCUA